AUUGAACGCUGGCGGCAUGCCUUACACAUGCAAGUCGAACGGCAGCACGGGUGCUUGCACCUGGUGGCGAGUGGCGAACGGGUGAGUAAUACAUCGGAACAUGUCCUGUAGUGGGGGAUAGCCCGGCGAAAGCCGGAUUAAUACCGCAUACGAUCCACGGAUGAAAGCGGGGGACCUUCGGGCCUCGCGCUAUAGGGUUGGCCGAUGGCUGAUUAGCUAGUUGGUGGGGUAAAGGCCUACCAAGGCGACGAUCAGUAGCUGGUCUGAGAGGACGACCAGCCACACUGGGACUGAGACACGGCCCAGACUCCUACGGGAGGCAGCAGUGGGGAAUUUUGGACAAUGGGCGAAAGCCUGAUCCAGCAAUGCCGCGUGUGUGAAGAAGGCCUUCGGGUUGUAAAGCACUUUUGUCCGGAAAGAAAUCCUUGGCUCUAAUACAGUCGAGGGAUGACGGUACCGGAAGAAUAAGCACCGGCUAACUACGUG
RNAcentral lists this ribosomal RNA (486 nucleotides) under uncultured bacterium. Its description in RNAcentral is "partial 16S ribosomal RNA". It matches the Rfam family "Bacterial small subunit ribosomal RNA", at positions 30 to 507 of the family's 1533-position model. The record is from RNAcentral.